Ipomoea nil (Japanese morning glory) is the source of this 1664-nucleotide long non-coding RNA. RefSeq lists it as uncharacterized. The transcript is spliced from 5 exons. NCBI's taxonomy places the organism in Eukaryota, Viridiplantae, Streptophyta, Magnoliopsida, Solanales, Convolvulaceae. The record is from RefSeq and is a predicted model, not a curated record.
CUUUAGGGUUUGCCUCAGCCCUCCACCGCCGCUUGCUCUACUUUGACGCUUCGCCAUUCCUGCUCAGAGGUAUUCCUUUAUCUAACACCGCAACGCCACACAUUUUCAAUGGAUUUCUAUUCUCUUUUUGAGGAUUCGGAUGGGAGGACCAUUAGUUCGCCUGCUGCUUCAGAAUUUGACUUUGUCAAUGUAAUGUUGUCAAUAGGGAUAUGUGACUUAGGAAAAGCAUACCACAGGUCGCGAUGAACGGAACCUAGUGGUUUGCAGCGACGAUGGCAGUGAUACAAAUGAAGAUUUUCACACACCGCUUGGGGAUUUCGACGACCUUCAGGAUGCGCAACCACUCCAUGGUGUGCCGGCCCCUGUAAGCCACCCGUUCGACACGGGGGAGCCCAAGGGAGCUUGUACGACUUGUCGCUUUUACUCACGUCACGCCAGAGGCAGGAUGUGUGUGCGAUGGGCAUGGGAGGGCUGUUGGGAUUGCGGGUUCAUGUACUACUGCUGCGGCUUGGGCAUUGGUUGCUCACCAAUUUUGACCCCUCGGAAAUGAAGAUAAACUUAAGCCAUGGGAGAUCCAUCAGCAUCACGAAGGAAGACGUGGCAGCGGUGCUUGGGCUCUCGAAUGGGGUGAUUCCGAUCACAGAGCGUGAUAGCCAAGUUAUAAACCCUGACUUGCAGUCGUGGAGGAUUAAAGUUAAAAAACGGGAAGGCAAUAUCACCGUUAAGGCACUUACUACGCAGCUCUUAGAGCUAAAAGAUGUCGGUGUGUGGUUUAAGAGGCAUUUCUGUGUGGUAGUGGUUAGUACCUUGAUCGCUAGCACCCUCAAUGGCUAUGCGAACCAGAGAACCGUGCAUAUGUUCCGUGACGUUGCCAAGGUUAGAGAGUUGGAUUGAUGUGGGUACCUCUUGCGAACACUGGUCAGUACGCACGCAAGCUGGAUGCAGCGCUCUACGGGGAAAUUCCUAGGCCCGUUGUUGUUCCUGAUUCUUUUAUAUGUUGAUAGGGUGGUCGUCGGGGCAAGGGAUGUACCGAGAACCACGCCAGCGCUGCAUGGGUGGACGCCAAGUUGCGCAGGCCACGCUUCUAUGUGAUGUGCAUCAGUUUUAAGCAUUCCAAGUUCGUCAUCAUGGACAGCUCAUCCACCGCAGACAUGACCACAGAAGGGUACGGGGGAGCACCAGAGGAAUUGAGGGACCUUCUAGCCGCGUAUUUGGAUAGCAAACAACACACUGUUCGUGCGCUCCGAUUGAGGGACAUGCAACCAGAGAGGAUGCGGCUGGCAUGGAGUGACACCGCUGCUAACGGGGACUCUGGAGUGUAUGCAAUGAGACACAUGGAGACAUUUGUUGGCAAUGAGGCAACUAGUUGGGGGUGUGGGCUUCGGACGGGAGAUCACUUGGUAUUCGUUUGGUUCUGUUGCGGUCUAACUCCCCCACUCGUGUGCGAAUACUUUGUAUGUUGUCAUUCACUGUACUAAGCAGGAUGUUGUGCAUGAGCCAUCUCCUCAUGUUCCCAUGCACAAGUGAAUGACAACAUGCAAAGUAUUCGCACACGAGCGGGGGAGUAUGACCGCAACAGGACCGAACGGAUAUGCAAAGGUGCACCACACCGACCUCAGUGAUUUGAACACUGACUACAACGGAAAUAUGUAGGGAGCAUGGUA